UACGUAGGGACCAAGCGUUGUUCGGAUUUACUGGGCGUAAAGGGUUCGUAGGUGGCCAACUAAGUCAGACGUGAAAUCCCUCAGCUUAACUGGGGAACUGCGUCUGAUACUGGUCGGCUUGAGUGCAGGAGAGGAACGCGGAAUUCCAGGUGUAGCGGUGAAAUGCGUAGAUAUCUGGAGGAACACCGGUGGCGAAGGCGGCGUUCUGGACUGCAACUGACACUGAGGAACGAAAGCCAGGGGAGCAAACGGG
Molecule: ribosomal RNA, 253 nt
Filed under: uncultured bacterium
Lineage: Bacteria
Description: partial 16S ribosomal RNA
Rfam family: Bacterial small subunit ribosomal RNA
Source: RNAcentral